RNAcentral lists this ribosomal RNA (144 nucleotides) under Leucocoprinus gongylophorus. RNAcentral's name for it is "Leucoagaricus gongylophorus partial 5.8S ribosomal RNA". It matches the Rfam family "5.8S ribosomal RNA". From Rfam's summary of the family: 5.8S ribosomal RNA (5.8S rRNA) is a component of the large subunit of the eukaryotic ribosome. It is transcribed by RNA polymerase I as part of the 45S precursor that also contains 18S and 28S rRNA. The record is from RNAcentral. Lineage: Eukaryota; Fungi; Basidiomycota; Agaricomycetes; Agaricales; Agaricaceae.
GAUUGGAUCACUCGGCUCAUGAAUCGAUGAAGAACGCAGCGAAAUGCGAUAAGUAAUGUGAAUUGCAGAAUUCAGUGAAUCAUCGAAUCUUUGAACGCACCUUGCACUCCUUGGUAUUCCGAGGAGCAUGCCUGUUUGAGUGUC